AAUAAAUUAUAAUAACCUAAUUCCGCCCCUUAAAUCCAAAAUAAUCAUAAUAUCAUAUCUUCCUCCACCGCCAUCGACGACAUACGCACGGACCCAAACACGACCUAUCAUUGACUGCUCCUUACUUGAAUGUUGAAUCUGUCCCUCUGUUUCUUUUUAAAGUUUUUCUCUUCUCCUUAUCUCUAACACAUUCAACGUUUUUUUUUCCUUCCUAUUAUUAUUUUUAGUAUUUUGUUUAUUUACACGUACAAAAUUAAUAUUUCUUCUUCCUCUUUGUUUGUUUGCUAUUUUUUAUUUUGUUGAUCUCCAUUCAUUUUCUGUUACUUCCCUCUCGCUUCGUCGAUCUCUCCAGUCGCUCUCUCCGUGUUAAUUUAUCGAGGGUUGAAUUUUUCUCUAAAUUUAUCGCAACUAAAUUAGGGUUUCGUGGCCUUCUUAAUUAUGCUAUUUCAAGCUUAAUUUGAUCUUAAUAUGUCGAAUUCAGGAUGCUGAGUAGAUGCUGAUGAUGAAUCAAGGAGUUAAUACGCAAACCAUAGCUUCAGU
This 540-nucleotide long non-coding RNA is filed under the name Populus trichocarpa (black cottonwood). RNAcentral describes it as "long non-coding RNA (PTRI_LNC004773)". Lineage: Eukaryota; Viridiplantae; Streptophyta; Magnoliopsida; Malpighiales; Salicaceae. The record is from RNAcentral.